ACAAUUUUGUUGUUCUCUUGAUUCUUCUCUCCUAAGUUUUUUCGUGAUUGUAGGGCCUUUGCAGUGUGAUUCUCGAAUGUAGGAUGAUUUGAGCCUCCUAGAAAUGUGUUUAGAAAUGUGUUUGGAUCUCCGGAAGUUGUCUGACAGCACUUCAAUUCGUCUUGUCGAGUUGAUCUCCGGGCAGAACUCCGUUAGUCAAUUUGUUGUUGUGUAGUCAAUGCAGAAGUUUCCUCCAAUGCUUGCAGAAUGCCCUCCUUUUUUUCUUUCUUUCCCUUAGAAUGUUAUGUUACCCCCUAUUUAUAGUUGUGGGGUAGGCCUAGUUGCUUGUGAUCGGACGAAACAUGUCAUUUUGACACUUG
This 359-nucleotide long non-coding RNA is filed under the name Capsicum annuum. Its description in RNAcentral is "long non-coding RNA (CANN_LNC007464)". Lineage: Eukaryota; Viridiplantae; Streptophyta; Magnoliopsida; Solanales; Solanaceae. The record is from RNAcentral.